This 253-nucleotide ribosomal RNA is filed under the name uncultured bacterium. RNAcentral describes it as "partial 16S ribosomal RNA". It matches the Rfam family "Bacterial small subunit ribosomal RNA", at positions 524 to 776 of the family's 1533-position model. The record is from RNAcentral.
UACGUAGGGGGCGAGCGUUGUCCGGAGUUACCGGGCGUAAAGCGCACGCAGGCGGUCUGCUAAGUUUGGAGUGACAGUUGGUGGCUUAACUGCCAAAGUGCUUCGAAAACUGACAGACUUGAGGGCUUCAGAGGGACACGGAAUUCCGGGUGGAGUGGUGAAAUGCGUAGAGAUCCGGAGGAACACCAAAGGCGAAGGCAGUGUCCUGGGGAGUACCUGACGCUCAGGAGCGAAAGCGUGGGGAGCGAACAGG